Molecule: long non-coding RNA, 469 nt
Organism: Betta splendens (Siamese fighting fish)
Lineage: Eukaryota; Metazoa; Chordata; Actinopteri; Anabantiformes; Osphronemidae
Exons: 2
Source: RefSeq, a predicted model, not a curated record
GUUUUAUUGGCCUGCAGGAAACAAAUAACAAACAUGUAGAUGUAUGUUUCUGUGUCUGCACUCCACAGCUCCCCUGAAUAAAUUGACAGAUAAACAAAAUUGCUACAAUACAACAAAACACAAAUUUGCUAACAUGCCAACACGAGGAGCUCAGGUCACCAAGCUAAUCCUCGUAGGCAAAACCAAAAAUUACCCAACAAAUCUAAACAAAUUAUUACGAGAACGACGAGUAAUGUAAUAUAAUGAGCAGCAAAUAAUGCACAGCAAAAACAGGAACACAAACUGAUUUCUGCAAGAAAAUGUAAAAAUAAAUCAAGCGCCUUUCUCCACACAACCUACCCUCAUCGGUGCAUGCGGCAACAUGAGACAGGACAGAAAGAGCAGGUAGUACGGAAACAAAAAAAGUUCAAAAAGUGCGGUGUGCAGUACGGAAAGUAUUAGAGUGGACGAAAUAAAAAAAAAAAUCCAA